ACAUGCAAGUCGAGCGGACAGAUGGGAGCUUGCUCCCUGAUGUUAGCGGCGGACGGGUGAGUAACACGUGGGUAACCUGCCUGUAAGACUGGGAUAACUCCGGGAAACCGGGGCUAAUACCGGAUGGUUGUUUGAACCGCAUGGUUCAGACAUAAAAGGUGGCUUCGGCUACCACUUACAGAUGGACCCGCGGCGCAUUAGCUAGUUGGUGAGGUAACGGCUCACCAAGGCGACGAUGCGUAGCCGACCUGAGAGGGUGAUCGGCCACACUGGGACUGAGACACGGCCCAGACUCCUACGGGAGGCAGCAGUAGGGAAUCUUCCGCAAUGGACGAAAGUCUGACGGAGCAACGCCGCGUGAGUGAUGAAGGUUUUCGGAUCGUAAAGCUCUGUUGUUAGGGAAGAACAAGUGCCGUUCAAAUAGGGCGGCACCUUGACGGUACCUAACCAGAAAGCCACGGCUAACUACGUGCCAGCAGCCGCGGUAAUACGUAGGUGGCAAGCGUUGUCCGGAAUUAUUGGGCGUAAAGGGCUCGCAGGCGGUUUCUUAAGUCUGAUGUGAAAGCCCCCGGCUCAACCGGGGAGGGUCAUUGGAAACUGGGGAACUUGAGUGCAGAAGAGGAGAGUGGAAUUCCACGUGUAGCGGUGAAAUGCGUAGAGAUGUGGAGGAACACCAGUGGCGAAGGCGACUCUCUGGUCUGUAACUGACGCUGAGGAGCGAAAGCGUGGGGAGCGAACAGGAUUAGAUACCCUGGUAGUCCACGCCGYAAAGGAUGCUAAGUGUUAGGGGGUUUCCGCCCCUUAGUGCUGCAGCUAACGCAUUAAGCACUCCGCCUGGGGAGUACGGUCGCAAGACUGAAACUCAAAGGAAUUGACGGGGGCCCGCACAAGCGGUGGAGCAUGUGGUUUAAUUCGAAGCAACGCGAAGAACCUUACCAGGUCUUGACAUCCUCUGACAAUCCUAGAGAUAGGACGUCCCCUUCGGGGGCAGAGUGACAGGUGGUGCAUGGUUGUCGUCAGCUCGUGUCGUGAGAUGUUGGGUUAAGUCCCGCAACGAGCGCAACCCUUGAUCUUAGUUGCCAGCAUUCAGUUGGGCACUCUAAGGUGACUGCCGGUGACAAACCGGAGGAAGGUGGGGAUGACGUCAAAUCAUCAUGCCCCUUAUGACCUGGGCUACACACGUGCUACAAUGGACAGAACAAAGGGCAGCGAAACCGCGAGGUUAAGCCAAUCCCACAAAUCUGUUCUCAGU
Molecule: ribosomal RNA, 1252 nt
Filed under: Bacillus sp. C-1-17
Lineage: Bacteria; Bacillati; Bacillota; Bacilli; Caryophanales; Bacillaceae
Description: bacterial SSU rRNA
Rfam family: Bacterial small subunit ribosomal RNA
Source: RNAcentral